AAGGAUCAUUGUCGAGGGAAAGAACCAACAAGCGAACCCGUUCGGUCACUCUUCGCACGCGGGCGCGCCCUUCGGCCUCGCGCUUCCGCACGGGCGGUGGCGGGGGCCGAGGGCGCCGACCCGUCGAGCGACACCCACAGGGCGCAGCGCGCGCCAAGCACCCGAAGCGAAAAGGCUGGUCCCCCCGCGCCGGUGUUCGGCCCUUCCAGCCGUCGGGGCGCGGCACCGACGCGGGGGACCCAUCCGAACGACUCCGAUCGAAUACGACUCUCGGCAACGGAUAUCUCGGCUCUUGCAUCGAUGAAGAACGUAGCGAGAUGCGAUACGUGGUGUGAAUUGCAGAAUCCCGUGAACCAUCGAGUCUUUGAACGCAAGUUGCGCCCGAGGCCACUCGGCUGAGGGCACGCCUGCCUGGGCGUCACGCCCCCGAUCGCUCCCCCCGCGGCAUGGCAUUUUGCCUCGGGGAGGCGGAGAUUGGCUGCCCGUGCGCCACUCGUAGGCGAGCGGUUGGCCGAAAUGCAGGUCGACGUGCGGUGCGGCACGACGCGUGGUGGUUUGGAGCCGCGACCGAUCGCGAAUCGGACGCAGUGCCUGUGUCACGCCGCACCCGGUGCGACCCGUGGGACGCAGCUUUUUUGCCCGUUCGGAAGGGCACUCGGACCGCGACCCCAGGUCAGGCGGGACCACCCGCUGAGUUUAAGCAUAUCAAUAAGCGGAGGAGAAGAAA
RNAcentral lists this small RNA (727 nucleotides) under Cryptocarya alba. RNAcentral describes it as "eukaryotic LSU rRNA". The stretch from base 266 to 421 matches the Rfam family "5.8S ribosomal RNA". Lineage: Eukaryota; Viridiplantae; Streptophyta; Magnoliopsida; Laurales; Lauraceae. The record is from RNAcentral.